Molecule: ribosomal RNA, 1422 nt
Filed under: Triticum aestivum (bread wheat)
Lineage: Eukaryota; Viridiplantae; Streptophyta; Magnoliopsida; Poales; Poaceae
Description: partial small subunit ribosomal RNA
Source: RNAcentral
AUGGAGUUCACCGCCGCGGACAUCUUUCAGCACUCGCCCUUUGACGACACCCUGAAUUCUCUAAAGUCUCUCUCUUUAUCAGGAGAGCCCUGGCCGGAUUACGGUCAGCGAGGAUGGGAUACGAACGAUGAAGAAAUUCAAAGCCCACCCACCACCCACUUGGUAGCCACUGUCGACAAUUUAAACGACGUGCUCAACUGCGACUCCGGAGACAUCGACAGCAUGGAUGACGAUGCAGGAGAUAUCGACGAACCAACGCCCAUAGGGCAUUGGACAGCCACCUCAUCUCACGAUGUGUACAUGGUGGAUACCCCUAAAGGAAGCGACAACGAGGAAAAAGGGAAUGGGACGGAAGAUCGACCCCCCGAAAAGCAAUCAAAGCGUCGGCGUAAACGCCGACCCAAGCCCCGCCUUGACAAAAACCCAGCCAUAGAGCAGGACGAACCGGUAGACGACGAGCAGGCCUUAGAGCAACCGUCCGAACAAGGAAACACGGAUAGAGAAACCGAACAUCCCUCCUCUGGCGAAAACGGCAUUCUAGACGACCUCACGCCGAAUAAACCUAGGGAGCAAAAGAAUCUCCACGAGAGGCUCGUUGCAACUGCACGCAGCCUAAAAAAGCAGAACCGGAAGCUAAAAAUAGCGGAAGACGCACUCCGCAUUAGAUGGAGCAAGGUAAUCAAUACCACAGAUAAGUACGGCGACAAUCGCUGCACUAAAAGCUAUCCAAAAAGAAAGCUACUGCCUGAAUUCGACGAAGAGGCCCUAGAGCCCUCGCAUUCAAAACAUGAAAAAGCCACACGGUCGGAUAGACGACCCCACAAAGCGGCAAGCGACGCCGCACCUAAAUCGGCAUGCGACCCACUUAAGGAUUCGCAUCAUGGCCCAGUCAGGUCCAUUUAUGGGCCAAGAAAUCAAGAUCUCGUAAGCAAUGCCAUGAAGCCAUCGUUAGAAUCCGGCACACCCAAAUACAGGGGCGCCGCACACCCCCUAUGUUUCACCGAUAAGGUCCUGGACUAUGAAUUCCCAGAGGGAUUCAAACUCGUAAACAUAGAGGCAUAUGAUGGAACAACAGACUCUGGAGUCUGGAUCGAGGAUUAUAUCCUCCACAUACACAUGGCUAGAGGAGAUGAUCUCCACGCCAUAAAAUAUCUACCCCUUAAGCUUAAAGAGCCAACCCGACAUUGGCUUAAAAGCCUUCCAGAAAACACAAUUGGAAGCUGGGAAGAGCUCGAGGAUGCUUUUCGAGCAAACUUUCAAGGGACCUAUGUCCAUCCCCCGGAUGCAGACGAUCUUAGUCACAUAACUCAACAACCCGGAGAAUCAGCUCGGCAGUUCUGGAAUAUAUUCCUCACUAAAAAGAAUCAGAUAGUCGACUGUCCGGACACCGAAGCCUUAGCAGCUUUUAGGCAUAAUGUCUGA